CACUAAAGUAUCCGCCCGAGAACUACGAGCACAAACGCUUAAAACUCUAAGGACUUGGCGGUGCUCCAAAUCCACCUAGAGGAGCCUGUUCUGUAAUCGAUAACCCACGAUAUACCUAACCCCUUCUUGCCCAUAGCAGCCUACAUACCGCCGUCCCCAGCUCACCUCUCCUGAGAGCCCUAACAGUGAGCACAACAGCAUUCCCCCUAAUAAGACAGGUCAAGGUAUAGCCCAUGAAGGGGAAGAAAUGGGCUACAUUUUCUAAAAUAGAAAACCCACGGAAAGAAGCCUGAAAGAACUUCCAGAAGGAGGAUUUAGCAGUAAAG
RNAcentral lists this ribosomal RNA (326 nucleotides) under Amaurornis phoenicurus (white-breasted waterhen). Its description in RNAcentral is "partial 12S ribosomal RNA". It matches the Rfam family "Bacterial small subunit ribosomal RNA", at positions 858 to 1343 of the family's 1533-position model. The record is from RNAcentral. Lineage: Eukaryota; Metazoa; Chordata; Aves; Gruiformes; Rallidae.